GGACCUACCGUGAGGUAGACCCCCGCCGCUGUAUCAGGCUCGCCUUGAAACUGACCCAAAGAAAUUUGGCGUUAGCUAUAAAUUUUGGAACGUCUCCUCUAGGGGAGACAAA
RNAcentral lists this small nuclear RNA (112 nucleotides) under Caenorhabditis brenneri. RNAcentral's name for it is "snRNA CBN34286". Lineage: Eukaryota; Metazoa; Nematoda; Chromadorea; Rhabditida; Rhabditidae. The record is from RNAcentral.